CCAGAAGCUUGUAGGCAUGCAUGGAAAAGGCUUGGUACACACCAGAUCGCCGCUGACAUCUAAUACUGGCUUACCUAACAGGGGAAGGCAAACGUUUUAAAUGUGAAAUAAUAACAACUAUAAUGUUAAAUAGUUGUGAUGACUUGUCGUGCUGCUGAUGAUGGUGAUUGCUGUGAUUGACAGUGUGUAGUGAGUGUGAUGAUAUUGAUACUGUUCAACAUGGUUGAUGAUGAUGAUUGAUUAUGAUGAUAAUGAUGAUUAAUCAUGAUGAUGGUGGUAUAAAAUACAGCAGUGUUUACAGUCUCUACCUUCGUCAUCCCAGCUUUCUACUGCCAUGCCAAGGUUUCUAGCUUGUAUCUCUCCACGGUAAACUGGAAUUGUACAAUUCUGGCCAGCAAAGCAUGAAAUAAUAUCUGUUCCUCCUGUGGAAAUGAAUCAUUGAAUUGGAGAACAUCAUCUUUGAUACAGUGAUACACAUAGUCAUAGCUGGAAGGUUUCAGAGAUCCAACAAAUGGAAAAACAACUACUUUUUCUAAUUGAGGAAGACCUAACAUGGAAAAUAAUUACAGUGUAUAAAAAAUAUCAAGGGAUAGAAACACAAUACAACAAUUUACAACCUUUCCAGGUUUCUUAAGGCAGAAGCAAGAGUGGCUACAUUUUGUUUCAACUCAGAAAAUGUGAUGGACUUCAAGUUUUGGCCUUCACCUGUCAUCAUGAGUUUCAUCAAAAAAGUCAGAAUUAUCAGCUAACUUAAGAUAUUGUUGAACAUAACAACUAGAUUGUAAUACCAAUGAUAUAUACCUGCUGUAUAUAGAGCAACUUUGUUGCCCUCAUAACGCAAUAAGUUUUCUGCAUAAUUUAACCUGGCACCAGGAAACCAUUCAGGUAUUUCAUCAAUUCUUUUGCUUGUAUCAACAACCUACCAGAAAAAAAAUGAAAUUAUGAAAUAAAAUCCUGAUCCAACUUGAUGGAGUAACCAGAUUCUCUACUGAAAAUAAUAUCAUUAAAAUGUUCUGUACAUUUAG
Molecule: long non-coding RNA, 1025 nt
Organism: Exaiptasia diaphana
Lineage: Eukaryota; Metazoa; Cnidaria; Anthozoa; Actiniaria; Aiptasiidae
Exons: 4
Source: RefSeq, a predicted model, not a curated record